Molecule: ribosomal RNA, 394 nt
Filed under: Gonostoma denudatum
Lineage: Eukaryota; Metazoa; Chordata; Actinopteri; Stomiiformes; Gonostomatidae
Description: 16S ribosomal RNA
Rfam family: Bacterial large subunit ribosomal RNA
Source: RNAcentral
UUUAACGGCCGCGGUAUUCUAACCGUGCAAAGGUAGCGCAAUCACUUGCCCUUUAAAUGGGGGCCCGUAUGAACGGCACAACGAAGGCUCAACUGUCUCCUCCCCUCAGUCAAUGAAACUGAUCUCCCUGUGCAGAAGCAGGGAUAAUCCAAUAAGACGAAAAGACCCCAUGGAGCUUCAGACGCUAACCACCCCCUUAACACUCCCACCAGGGAGAAGACCCCCCCCUCUCACCUGUCUUUGGUUGGGGCGACCACGGAGGAAUGAGAGCCUCCACGCGGAGGGAGCACUUCUCCCACAGCCACGAGCCACAACUCUAAGCAACAAAACUUUUGACCAUAACGAUCCGACACGACCAACGAACUAAGUUACCCUGGGGAUAACAGCGCAAUCC